Molecule: long non-coding RNA, 341 nt
Filed under: Elaeis guineensis (African oil palm)
Lineage: Eukaryota; Viridiplantae; Streptophyta; Magnoliopsida; Arecales; Arecaceae
Description: long non-coding RNA (EGUI_LNC040533)
Source: RNAcentral
CCCACCAACUGCCCUUUAUAUAUACACCACUAUUCAUUGUACUCUAAUGAUAUCCAUAUUGCUGCGUGUGAAAUUUAAAAUCAUUUACGUUACAGCCAGUAUAAUAUGUCACAUACUUUAUUGGCCUGUAACCUAAUGGUUUUAGCUUUCUAGGUAAGAAUUCGCCCUCUUACAUGAUUUGCAUAAGAAUAAAUUGGAAGAAAUUAAAAUAAAUAAAAUGACAAUGGUCGCUUACCAGUUGAUGGAAUCAAUUUGCAAAGUUUUGUAAGUGUUAAUUAAGAAUUUCUUUCUCGCUUAUCAUCGAGUUGUCCCAUCUCAGCAUCUCAUCAAAUUGCCUAUAU